This 440-nucleotide ribosomal RNA is filed under the name uncultured Pseudomonas sp. RNAcentral describes it as "bacterial SSU rRNA". It matches the Rfam family "Bacterial small subunit ribosomal RNA", at positions 358 to 790 of the family's 1533-position model. Lineage: Bacteria; Pseudomonadati; Pseudomonadota; Gammaproteobacteria; Pseudomonadales; Pseudomonadaceae. The record is from RNAcentral.
GGAAUAUUGGACAAUGGGCGAAAGCCUGAUCCAGCCAUGCCGCGUGUGUGAAGAAGGUCUUCGGAUUGUAAAGCACUUUAAGUUGGGAGGAAGGGCAUUAACCUAAUACGUUAGUGUUUUGACGUUACCGACAGAAUAAGCACCGGCUAACUCUGUGCCAGCAGCCGCGGUAAUACAGAGGGUGCAAGCGUUAAUCGGAAUUACUGGGCGUAAAGCGCGCGUAGGUGGUUCGUUAAGUUGGAUGUGAAAUCCCCGGGCUCAACCUGGGAACUGCAUUCAAAACUGUCGAGCUAGAGUAUGGUAGAGGGUGGUGGAAUUUCCUGUGUAGCGGUGAAAUGCGUAGAUAUAGGAAGGAACACCAGUGGCGAAGGCGACCACCUGGACUGAUACUGACACUGAGGUGCGAAAGCGUGGGGAGCAAACAGGAUUAGAUACCCUAG